GACGAACGCUGGCGGCGUGCCUAAUACAUGCAAGUUGAGCGAUGAAGAUUGGUGCUUGCCCCAAUUUGAAGAGCAGCGAACGGGUGAGUAACGCGUGGGGAAUCUGCCUUUGAGCGGGGGACAACAUUUGGAAACGAAUGCUAAUACCGCAUAAUAACUUUAAACAUAAGUUUUAAGUUUGAAAGAUGCAAUUGCCUCACUCAAAGAUGAUCCCGCGUUGUAUUAGCUAGUUGGUGAGGUAAAGGCUCACCAAGGCGAUGAUACAUAGCCGACCUGAGAGGGUGAUCGGCCACAUUGGGACUGAGACACGGCCCAAACUCCUACGGGAGGCAGCAGGAGGGAAUCUUCGGCAAUGGACGAAAGUCUGACCGAGCAACGCCGCGGGAGUGAAGAAGGUUGUCGGAUCGUAAAACUCUGUUGGUAGAGAAGAACGUUGGUGAGAGUGGAAAGCUCAUCAAGUGACGGUAACUACCCAGAAAGGGACGGCUAACUACGUG
RNAcentral lists this ribosomal RNA (497 nucleotides) under uncultured bacterium. RNAcentral describes it as "partial 16S ribosomal RNA". It matches the Rfam family "Bacterial small subunit ribosomal RNA", at positions 28 to 507 of the family's 1533-position model. The record is from RNAcentral.